CACCCUUUAAUGUUUGAUGUUCUAACGUGGACCCGUAAUCCGGGUUGCGGACAGUGUCUGGUGGGUAGUUUGACUGGGGCGGUCUCCUCCUAAAGAGUAACGGAGGAGCACGAAGGUUGGCUAAUCCUGGUCGGACAUCAGGAGGUUAGUGCAAUGGCAUAAGCCAGCUUGACUGCGAGCGUGACGGCGCGAGCAGGUGCGAAAGCAGGUCAUAGUGAUCCGGUGGUUCUGAAUGGAAGGGCCAUCGCUCAACGGAUAAAAGGUACUCCGGGGAUAACAGGCUGAUACCGCCCAAGAGUUCAUAUCGACGGCGGUGUUUGGCACCUCGAUGUCGGCUCAUCACAUCCUGGGGCUGAAGUAGGUCCCAAGGGUAUGGCUGUUCGCCAUUUAAAGUGGUACGCGAGCUGGGUUUAGAACGUCGUGAGACAGUUCGGUCCCUAUCUGCCGUGGGCGCUGGAGAACUGAGGGGGGCUGCUCCUAGUACGAGAGGACCGGAGUGGACGCAUCACUGGUGUUCGGGUUGUCAUGCCAAUGGCACUGCCCGGUAGCUAAAUGCGGAAGAGAUAAGUGCUGAAAGCAUCUAAGCACGAAACUUGCCCCGA
Molecule: ribosomal RNA, 602 nt
Filed under: Salmonella enterica
Lineage: Bacteria; Pseudomonadati; Pseudomonadota; Gammaproteobacteria; Enterobacterales; Enterobacteriaceae
Also listed under: 2 other names
Description: partial 23S ribosomal RNA
Rfam family: Bacterial large subunit ribosomal RNA
Source: RNAcentral